UACGUAGGGGUGCAAGCGUUGUCCGGAAUUAUUGGGCGUAAAAGAGCUCGUAGGCGGUCUGUCGCGUCGGCUGUGAAAUCCCGAGGCUCAACCUCGGGUCUGCAGUCGAUACGGGCAAACUGGAGUACUGCAGGGGAGACUGGAAUUCCUGGUGUAGCGGUGGAAUGCGCAGAUAUCAGGAGGAACACCGGUGGCGAAGGCGGCUCUCU
This 209-nucleotide ribosomal RNA is filed under the name uncultured bacterium. RNAcentral's name for it is "partial 16S ribosomal RNA". It matches the Rfam family "Bacterial small subunit ribosomal RNA", at positions 524 to 730 of the family's 1533-position model. The record is from RNAcentral.